Molecule: transfer RNA, 77 nt
Filed under: Bradyrhizobium niftali
Lineage: Bacteria; Pseudomonadati; Pseudomonadota; Alphaproteobacteria; Hyphomicrobiales; Nitrobacteraceae
Also listed under: 1 other name
Description: Bradyrhizobium sp. CNPSo 3448 tRNA-Lys
Rfam family: tRNA
About the family: Transfer RNA (tRNA) molecules are approximately 80 nucleotides in length. Their secondary structure includes four short double-helical elements and three loops (D, anti-codon, and T loops). Further hydrogen bonds mediate the characteristic L-shaped molecular structure. tRNAs have two regions of fundamental functional importance: the anti-codon, which is responsible for specific mRNA codon recognition, and the 3' end, to which the tRNAs corresponding amino acid is attached (by aminoacyl-tRNA synthetases). tRNAs cope with the degeneracy of the genetic code in two manners: having more than one tRNA (with a specific anti-codon) for a particular amino acid; and 'wobble' base-pairing, i.e. permitting non-standard base-pairing at the 3rd anti-codon position.
Source: RNAcentral
GGGCGGGUAGCUCGGUUGGUAGAGCAGCUGACGCUUAAUCAGCAGGGUCAUAGGUUCGAAUCCUAUCCCGCUCACCU